CAGGAUGAACGCUAGCUACAGGCUUAACACAUGCAAGUCGAGGGCAGCAUGAAACUUAGCUUGCUAAGUUUGAUGGCGACCGGCGCACGGGUGAGUAACACGUAUCCAACCUACCGUUUACUACGGGAUAGCCUUCUGAAAAGGAGAUUAAUACCGUAUGGCAUUCUAAAGUUUCAUGACAUUAGAAUUAAAGGUUUACCGGUAAUCGAUGAGGAUGCGUUCCAUUAGAUAGUAGGCGGGGUAACGGCCCACCUAGUCAGCGAUGGAUAGGGGUUCUGAGAGGAAGGUCCCCCACAUUGGAACUGAGACACGGUCCAAACUCCUACGGAGGCAGCAGUGAGGAAUAUUGGUCAAUGGGCGAGAGCCUGAACCAGCCAAAAGUAGCGUGAAGGAUGACUGCCCUAUGGGUUGUAAACUUCUUUUAUAAAGGAAUAAAGUGGUCCACGUGUGGAUUUUUGUAUGUACUUUAUGAAUAAGGAUCGGCUAACUCCGUGCCAGCCGCCGC
RNAcentral lists this ribosomal RNA (505 nucleotides) under uncultured bacterium. RNAcentral's name for it is "bacterial SSU rRNA". It matches the Rfam family "Bacterial small subunit ribosomal RNA", at positions 25 to 518 of the family's 1533-position model. The record is from RNAcentral.